This 371-nucleotide ribosomal RNA is filed under the name uncultured bacterium. RNAcentral's name for it is "bacterial SSU rRNA". It matches the Rfam family "Bacterial small subunit ribosomal RNA", at positions 521 to 895 of the family's 1533-position model. The record is from RNAcentral.
UAAUACGGAGGGUGCAAGCGUUAUCCGGAUUCACUGGGUUUAAAGGGUGCGUAGGAGGGCAGGUAAGUCAGUGGUGAAAUCUCCGGGCUUAACUCGGAAACUGCCGUUGAUACUAUCUGCCUUGAAUACCGUGGAGGUGAGCGGAAUAUGUCAUGUAGCGGUGAAAUGCUUAGAUAUGACAUAGAACACCAAUUGCGAAGGCAGCUCACUACACGAAUAUUGACUCUGAGGCACGAAAGCGUGGGGAUCAAACAGGAUUAGAUACCCUGGUAGUCCACGCCCUAAACGAUGGAUACUCGACAUACGCAUACACAGUGUGUGUCUGAGCGAAAGCAUUAAGUAUCCCACCUGGGAAGUACGACCGCAAGGUU